GGCUGCAAGGAGGAAGCCCCCGGGGCUGAGGGACCCCAGCCUGCUGUUCCUCCCCGCCCCACCGCCCCCGCCAAGGCUCUGCAGGGACCGGCCCCAGGCUCAGCUGCUUUGUGCCAGGCGGUUUCGCUGGUCACCCAGCCCGGCCCGUGGGGCCUUCGCAGGCAGGGGCGCAACUGCUGUGCCCACCACCAAGCCCAGGGCUGGCACCGGAUCCAGGCGUAACAACAACUUGUGGAACCGUGCUGUCGCUCAUUUUCAGACCUCAUCUCCCUCUGAGCCCCAGGAAGGGUGGAUGAAGCCAUGCUGGCUUCGCAGAGGAGGAAGCUGAGGAAAAGCAACUGAGGCUUGUGAUGGCCUAGUGAAUGGCCACAGCCCCACAGUGCUGUAGGCGCCCACGCCUCCCACACCUGUCUCCGGACGUUGUCCUGGAUCUGCUCGAACUCCCAGUGGAUGUCAGCGUCAGCCCCUCGCAGCCAGGCCAGGGCCUGCAGCGCCUCCGAGUCCCUGCCCCUCGAGAGCAGGAAGCGAGAUGGAGGAGGCUGAAUCAGACCCUAUUCUGCUGAGUGGAUGUGCCACAUAUAUUUUACAACCGACUCUUUGUCGUUGAACAUUUGGGUUAUUUCCAAAUUUUAGCUCUCAAAAUAGCAAAGUGUUUAAAAAAGUUGUUACAGUUCUCUUUUAUAAUCAUCAAAAUGUAACCACAUAUAUUAGAAUAGAGAAAACAGAGAUGUGGGAAGGCCACAUCCAUUGCCAACAGCCUCACCCUGCUGGAAUCUUAGUGUCUUUCCUUCCUCUCGUUUCCCCAUGUGUCUGUUUUGUGUGUUUGCCCAUUGAGUGUGCAUCUGAUUGUGUGACCACUUCACACUGUGUUUUAAGCAUUUGCUUGCCGUCAAGGGUAUAGUCUGUGGACUCAGGCACACCCAAUAAGUGGUGACCCUUGCUGUAAUGUUGCAUCGUCCUCGUGACCAUAUUUUGAAAAUUGAGAUGUAACACAUCAAAACCGAGCCGGACCUCGUGGGGCCUUCCCGGGACAGACUGCCCCCUCCAUGUCCUCCGCCUGCCUUUUGUCUGUAGGACAACUUUAUCCACAGAAUAAAUUUAAUCAGAGAAGUGAAAAAAUGCAGAAGCAAAGAAAAGCAAACAGGACAAAAUAAUAGUGUUUCGUCAUUAAACAAAGUCAAGGACCUUUAGUUCCUCCUCAAAGGCUAUGGAUAACAUUCUGAGUCAUACCCUUUGAGCUGUUUUGCCAAUACUGAAACCCCCACUCGGUGGAAAGGGUUAACUCCGUGAAGACCACACUGUAGCCAUGACAUAAACUGUUCCAUCUCCAUUCCAAGAACUGGCCUGAAAGAAAUGGGCACAAACCAGCCCUGGAACUGAAGAUUAAGCUGUGCUUAAAACAAGACACUGAUGAGCCCACCGCAAGACCAAUUUCAAGACAACUGUCGGCGCCGACUGUGCUGUUUCUGCAUGUAGACCCUUCCCUUCCCAAGACCCCCGCAACUCCCCUUUAAAGGCUCUGAUUGGCAGGCGGAGUUGGCUUUUGGACACACAAGUCUGCCUUCUCCCCCCGGGUUGCUGGCCUCCUGUAUGAAGCAACCUUUCCUUUCCUACCAACACCUGUUUCUUGAGUAUUGGCUUUCAAGCUUCGAGCAGCCAGACCUGAGCUCCGUAACAUCUUAAAGGUGCAGCUCAAUGAAUAAAAUUCUGUGCGCACCCAGGAGUCACGGCUCAGAUCAAGAAAGCAGCUUCUGAUCACCCCCAGAAAAUCCCAAGUAUUCCUUCCCAGUCAUGCCCACCCUCCUGAGGUCCCGUCACUCUGAUUUCUGUCAUUGUGGAUUAGAUUUUCCCGCCCUUGAACCUCUUGAAUGGAAUCCUGCUCUUGUUUCUGGCUUUUUUUUUUCCUUUAAAGUCAGCUUUAUUGAGGGACAAUCUACACACAGUAAAAUGGACCCAUUUUAAGUGUGUAGACUGAUGAGUGUUGGCAGCUGUAUCACGCAGUGGCCCCCCAGUCAGGCGUAGAACAUUUCCAUCCUCCAAGAAGUAUAUUGGUGCCCCUUCCCGGUCAACACUCCUCCUCCAUCCCUAAGACACCACUAAUCAUCUUUCUGUGACUGUACAUUAAUCUUUCCUAGAGUUUCAUAGAAAGAGAACCAUAUAUUAAAUGCUUUUUUCUGGCUUCUUUUACUCAGUACAUCUAUGAGUUUCAUCCGUGCUGUGUUUUCUAGUGGCUUGUUCUCUUUUUGUUGCUGUGUGUGUUAAGUUCUAUCCUUUGAUGGGUGGUUGGGUUUCACGAAGCUCGGGGCAAGCCACCCCCAAAUAUGCCAAAGGGGCAGACUGAUUAUGCUGAAUUAAAGUUACUUGAGAAACAGUGGAGGCAAGAAGGGCACUCUGACCCUCCUCUCUGUCCCCCUGAAAGCAGAAAAUAAAUCUCCCAUGUGGAAUAUACCCUUCCUGCACCGGGAGGUAGAGAGACAUCCUUAUCACCAGAGAUGGGGAAUUCCAGGCAAGAAGGCUGUGUAACAAACUCUGCCUAGUUUCUUCGCUAAUGAGUACCCAAACCUAAGUUUCUUCGUCUUGUCAGUGCUUCACAAAUUUGUUGUUUCUUUGUCUAAAAAGCAUAAAAGCUGCCUGCUUUGGUCAUUUCUUUGGGGCCCAUAUCUAUGAGACCUCUUCAUGUAGGAAAUUUAAUUUGUUUUUUUUUUUUCCUUCUGUUAAUCUGUCUUGUGUCAAUUUAACUCUCCUGGACAGGCUAUUUUCAGUUUUGGGCUAAAAGAAUAAAGCUGGUAUGACUCUCCUUGUUCAUAAUCCUGUCUUACCGGCUUUUUAAGGUUCUUGAGUGGACGAACCUGGAUUUGCUCACGAAUCUUCUGUCAUGGGCAUUAAGGUUAUUUCACACCUUUUUGCUUUUAAAAUUAGCAGUGUGAUGAACAUCUUUGCCCUUAAGGGAUAAUUUCCUUCAGCAAAGAUCAUUUCUGUGGUCCUCAGGCCUCUGAACCCUCCUAUCUUCUCUCCUGCCCACUCUCAUCUGGGUCAGCCCCAGAUGGGCUGCUCUGGAACCUGGCCUCUGGGGGUGGGGUGGGACUAUCCCCCCCUCCCUCCCACCCUGCGCCUGGCACAGCAUGGGCACACAGCCAAUGCCAGGAGACCCCUUGCUGGCUUGAAUUUAGAGCCUGCCCUUCUUCCUUAGCCUCCCCCAAGUCCCAUGCGGAAGCUAAGCGGCAGCAGGAAGCCCUGGUCUGGGAGUUGAGGGACCUGUCUCUGCUGCGCCCGGGAAAGCCCUGGACACACCCACGCGGGGGCUGGGGCCCUCACUUCCCCGCCUCGCAGCUCCGGCCACUCCUUGGGGGAAGCCCCAGAGGGGGUGGCUGCUUUAGCGGAAAGAGCCCCUAGUUGAUCCAUUCAGGCUGCCACUCACUGGUGUCUGUCCCUGGGGAGUCUGGCAGCUCCGGGGCAGCCCUCUUCCAGGACAUGGGAGCCCCAAUGGCUGGAAGUUCUAGUCCCUCCGGACGAGGCUGCUGGCUUUCAACUGCCCCAGAAACUAGCCUAGCUGCAUUCCAGACCCCCUGGCGCAGGGGAAAAGGUCCUGACUUCCAGCCCCUGUCAUCUCAAGGGAGAAGGGGAAGAAGCAGAUGGGGUGCCUGUCCUCAGCCGUCCCCGACCUUUGAAGGCUUCGUCUCAGAAUGCGCAGAAUGUCUGUCUGGGGAGCGCAGCCCAGAGAAAGUCCGUGACCCAGGAGGCCAGUGGAGGCCAGGGUCUCAGGGGCUGUCUGUGGUGGAAAAACUGAGGCUCCGGAGCUCACAGAUUAGCUGCCCAAGGAAAGGGCUCGUCUCAGAAGCCUGCCUGUCUUUCGCUUUGUCACAGCUCGAGAGAGGCAUGGACAUAUAUACACUACCAGACGUAAGGUAGAUAGCUAGUGGGAAGCAGCCGCAUAGCACAGGGAGAUCAGCUCGGUGCUUUGUGACCACCUAGAGGGGUGGGAUAGGGAGGGUGGGAGGGAGGGAGACACAAGAGGGAAGAGAUAUGGGAACAUAUGUAUAUGUAUAGCUGAUUCACUUUGUUAUAAACAGAAACUAACACACCAUUGUAAAGCAGUUAUACCCCAAUAAAGAU
Molecule: long non-coding RNA, 4113 nt
Organism: Orcinus orca (killer whale)
Lineage: Eukaryota; Metazoa; Chordata; Mammalia; Artiodactyla; Delphinidae
Exons: 5
Source: RefSeq, a predicted model, not a curated record